RNAcentral lists this long non-coding RNA (335 nucleotides) under Mus spicilegus (steppe mouse). RNAcentral describes it as "lncRNA (ENSMSIG00000007000.1)". Lineage: Eukaryota; Metazoa; Chordata; Mammalia; Rodentia; Muridae. The record is from RNAcentral.
AUUGUUCUGGAUACUGUCAUACUGCUGGUUUAUGACUGUGGCAACAAAGAAAACAUUGAAAAAUCAUGUCCUGGCACUGGGUAGAUACUAAGAACACAUGGAGCUCCUUGAAAUUACAGGUUCUGAAAACCUCCUCAACCAUCGUCUUAAGGAGAGCACAGGGAUUCUCCUUGUCUCCAAAGCUGCCCAGACAAGUCUGCAACAGAGCUCAGCAAAGAUCAAUAACCAGCCUGAAAAAAGGAUGUGGGUCAUCUAUCUCUUUCUUCAUUUGUAAAUUUCCAUAUUGUCUCAAUUUGUUUAAAAUAAAAAAAUGAGUUCUAACGCUCAUAGUCUGC